RNAcentral lists this ribosomal RNA (256 nucleotides) under uncultured bacterium. Its description in RNAcentral is "partial 16S ribosomal RNA". It matches the Rfam family "Bacterial small subunit ribosomal RNA", at positions 524 to 776 of the family's 1533-position model. The record is from RNAcentral.
GACGAACCGUACGAACGUUAUUCGGAAUCACUGGGCUUAAAGGGUGCGUAGGCUGCGCGGAAAGUUGGGUGUGAAAUCCCUCGGCUCAACCGAGGAACUGCGCCCAAAACUGCCGUGCUCGAGGGAGACAGAGGUGAGCGGAACUUAGGGUGGAGCGGUGAAAUGCGCAGAUAGUCAGGAGGAACACCGAUGGCGAAGGCAGCUCGCUGGGACGGUACUGACGCUGGAGGCGACGAAAGCGUGGGGAGCAAACAGG